GGGUUGUGAGGUUAAGCGACUAAGCGUACACGGUGGAUGCCCUGGCAGUCAGAGGCGAUGAAGGACGUGCUAAUCUGCGAUAAGCGUCGGUGAGGUGAUAUGAACCGUUAUAACCGGCGAUUUCCGAAUGGGGAAACCCAGUGUGUUUCGACACACUAUCAUUAACUGAAUCCAUAGGUUAAUGAGGCGAACCGGGGGAACUGAAACAUCUAAGUACCCCGAGGAAAAGAAAUCAACCGAGAUUCCCCCAGUAGCGGCGAGCGAACGGGGAGGAGCCCAGAGCCUGAAUCAGUGUGUGUGUUAGUGGAAGCGUCUGGAAAGGCGCGCGAUACAGGGUGACAGCCCCGUACACAAAAAUGCACAUGCUGUGAGCUCGAUGAGUAGGGCGGGACACGUGGUAUCCUGUCUGAAUAUGGGGGGACCAUCCUCCAAGGCUAAAUACUCCUGACUGACCGAUAGUGAACCAGUACCGUGAGGGAAAGGCGAAAAGAACCCCGGCGAGGGGAGUGAAAAAGAACCUGAAACCGUGUACGUACAAGCAGUGGGAGCCUCUUAAUGGGGUGACUGCGUACCUUUUGUAUAAUGGGUCAGCGACUUAUAUUCUGUAGCAAGGUUAACCGAAUAGGGGAGCCGAAGGGAAACCGAGUCUUAACUGGGCGUUAAGUUGCAGGGUAUAGACCCGAAACCCGGUGAUCUAGCCAUGGGCAGGUUGAAGGUUGGGUAACACUAACUGGAGGACCGAACCGACUAAUGUUGAAAAAUUAGCGGAUGACUUGUGGCUGGGGGUGAAAGGCCAAUCAAACCGGGAGAUAGCUGGUUCUCCCCGAAAGCUAUUUAGGUAGCGCCUCGUGAAUUCAUCUCCGGGGGUAGAGCACUGUUUCGGCAAGGGGGUCAUCCCGACUUACCAACCCGAUGCAAACUGCGAAUACCGGAGAAUGUUAUCACGGGAGACACACGGCGGGUGCUAACGUCCGUCGUGAAGAGGGAAACAACCCAGACCGCCAGCUAAGGUCCCAAAGUCAUGGUUAAGUGGGAAACGAUGUGGGAAGGCCCAGACAGCCAGGAUGUUGGCUUAGAAGCAGCCAUCAUUUAAAGAAAGCGUAAUAGCUCACUGGUCGAGUCGGCCUGCGCGGAAGAUGUAACGGGGCUAAACCAUGCACCGAAGCUGCGGCAGCGACGCUUAUGCGUUGUUGGGUAGGGGAGCGUUCUGUAAGCCUGUGAAGGUGGCCUGUGAGGGUUGCUGGAGGUAUCAGAAGUGCGAAUGCUGACAUAAGUAACGAUAAAGCGGGUGAAAAGCCCGCUCGCCGGAAGACCAAGGGUUCCUGUCCAACGUUAAUCGGGGCAGGGUGAGUCGACCCCUAAGGCGAGGCCGAAAGGCGUAGUCGAUGGGAAACAGGUUAAUAUUCCUGUACUUGGUGUUACUGCGAAGGGGGGACGGAGAAGGCUAUGUUGGCCGGGCGACGGUUGUCCCGGUUUAAGCGUGUAGGCUGGUUUUCCAGGCAAAUCCGGAAAACCAAGGCUGAGGCGUGAUGACGAGGCACUACGGUGCUGAAGCGACAAAUGCCCUGCUUCCAGGAAAAGCCUCUAAGCAUCAGGUAACAUCAAAUCGUACCCCAAACCGACACAGGUGGUCAGGUAGAGAAUACCAAGGCGCUUGAGAGAACUCGGGUGAAGGAACUAGGCAAAAUGGUGCCGUAACUUCGGGAGAAGGCACGCUGAUAUGUAGGUGAAGCGACUUGCUCGUGGAGCUGAAAUCAGUCGAAGAUACCAGCUGGCUGCAACUGUUUAUUAAAAACACAGCACUGUGCAAACACGAAAGUGGACGUAUACGGUGUGACGCCUGCCCGGUGCCGGAAGGUUAAUUGAUGGGGUUAGCGGCAACGCGAAGCUCUUGAUCGAAGCCCCGGUAAACGGCGGCCGUAACUAUAACGGUCCUAAGGUAGCGAAAUUCCUUGUCGGGUAAGUUCCGACCUGCACGAAUGGCGUAAUGAUGGCCAGGCUGUCUCCACCCGAGACUCAGUGAAAUUGAACUCGCUGUGAAGAUGCAGUGUACCCGCGGCAAGACGGAAAGACCCCGUGAACCUUUACUAUAGCUUGACACUGAACAUUGAGCCUUGAUGUGUAGGAUAGGUGGGAGGCUUUGAAGUGUGGACGCCAGUCUGCAUGGAGCCGACCUUGAAAUACCACCCUUUAAUGUUUGAUGUUCUAACGUUGGCCCGUAAUCCGGGUUGCGGACAGUGUCUGGUGGGUAGUUUGACUGGGGCGGUCUCCUCCUAAAGAGUAACGGAGGAGCACGAAGGUUGGCUAAUCCUGGUCGGACAUCAGGAGGUUAGUGCAAUGGCAUAAGCCAGCUUGACUGCGAGCGUGACGGCGCGAGCAGGUGCGAAAGCAGGUCAUAGUGAUCCGGUGGUUCUGAAUGGAAGGGCCAUCGCUCAACGGAUAAAAGGUACUCCGGGGAUAACAGGCUGAUACCGCCCAAGAGUUCAUAUCGACGGCGGUGUUUGGCACCUCGAUGUCGGCUCAUCACAUCCUGGGGCUGAAGUAGGUCCCAAGGGUAUGGCUGUUCGCCAUUUAAAGUGGUACGCGAGCUGGGUUUAGAACGUCGUGAGACAGUUCGGUCCCUAUCUGCCGUGGGCGCUGGAGAACUGAGGGGGGCUGCUCCUAGUACGAGAGGACCGGAGUGGACGCAUCACUGGUGUUCGGGUUGUCAUGCCAAUGGCACUGCCCGGUAGCUAAAUGCGGAAGAGAUAAGUGCUGAAAGCAUCUAAGCACGAAACUUGCCCCGAGAUGAGUUCUCCCUGAGACUUAGAGUCUCCUGAAGGAACGUUGAAGACGACGACGUUGAUAGGCCGGGUGUGUAAGCGCAGCGAUGCGUUGAGCUAACCGGUACUAAUGAACCGUGAGGCUUAACCUUACAACGCCGAAG
This 2926-nucleotide ribosomal RNA is filed under the name Escherichia coli. RNAcentral describes it as "23S ribosomal RNA". It matches the Rfam family "Bacterial large subunit ribosomal RNA". Lineage: Bacteria; Pseudomonadati; Pseudomonadota; Gammaproteobacteria; Enterobacterales; Enterobacteriaceae. The record is from RNAcentral.